RNAcentral lists this ribosomal RNA (253 nucleotides) under uncultured bacterium. Its description in RNAcentral is "partial 16S ribosomal RNA". It matches the Rfam family "Bacterial small subunit ribosomal RNA", at positions 524 to 776 of the family's 1533-position model. The record is from RNAcentral.
UACGGAGGGGGCAAGCGUUGGCCGGCGGCACUGGGUUGAAAGGGCGCGUAGGCGGCUAAAUAAGUCAGAGGUGACAGCUUGCAGCCUAACUGCGAAAGUGCCUUUGAUACUGUAUAGCUUGAAAGGAGCUGAGGUCAGCAGAAUGUGGCAUGUAGCGGUGAAAUGCAUAGAUAUGCCAUAGAAUACCAAUUGCGACGGCAACUGGCUGCGCUUACUUUGACGCUGUUCCGCGAAAGCGUGUCGAUCGAACAGG